GAACUGGCAACUUGGAGAAGUGGCAAGUCUUCCAGUAUGGGGAGCAAAACAGCUAUGGGUCAAGUCCGAUAUCUUUAGGAGAAGUCUUAUUGUGAGGGCGAGUUAUAUAACACCAUAGGACUGGCCGUCCCAUAUGAAAAGAUUAUAUUAGAAUUGAAUGAAGCUUUGUUUAUAUAUUGAUAAUGACAGUAUAUAUAUCGUGUCUUGACUAAUUGCGUGCCAGCAGUCGCGGUAAUACGUAAGAGACUAGUGUUAUUCAUCUUAAUUAGGUUUAAAGGGUACCCAGACGGUCAAUAUAGCUUAUAAAAUGUUAGUACUUGACUAGAGUUUUAUGUAAGAGGGCAGUACUUGAGGAGGAGAGAUGAAAUUUCGUGAUACCAAAGGGACUCUGUAAAGGCGAAGGCAGCCCUCUAUGUAAAAACUGACGUUGAAGGACGAAGGCACAGAGAACAAACAGGAUUAGAUACCCAAGUAGUCUUUGCAGUAAAUGAUGAAUGCCAUAGGUUAGAUUGAUCAAUUAUAGUCUAGGGUUAGUCUAGCAAACUAAUGCCCUAUGAUAUAAUUCAAAAUAUCUGGUCUAUAAAUGAAAGUGUAAGCAUUUCACCUCAAGAGUAAUGUGGCAACGCAGGAACUGAAAUC
RNAcentral lists this ribosomal RNA (639 nucleotides) under Fusarium oxysporum f. sp. cubense. RNAcentral's name for it is "SSU rRNA". It matches the Rfam family "Bacterial small subunit ribosomal RNA", at positions 47 to 907 of the family's 1533-position model. Lineage: Eukaryota; Fungi; Ascomycota; Sordariomycetes; Hypocreales; Nectriaceae. The record is from RNAcentral.